Long non-coding RNA from Chinchilla lanigera (long-tailed chinchilla), 1828 nucleotides. Lineage: Eukaryota; Metazoa; Chordata; Mammalia; Rodentia; Chinchillidae. The record is from Ensembl.
UCCACCUUUGCUGCGCUGGGUGCUGGGGUCACUCAGUGCCAGGGUGACAGCCUCCCUGAGUGCAAGGGUUUGCAGUCAGCUCACUGCUCAUCACAGAAGACUGCAGUGUUUUUUUAAGGAGAAAGGAAACGAAGUCCCCCAUGAUCGUCCACAUUUUGGCCCUGCUGAAAAGGUCUUGGAAAACAAGCUGGAACCUGUCAGAACCCAAGCAAGGGCACAGUCAGGUACCCACUGAACUGAGGGGUGGGUGGUUGAGGGACAAGGUUGGGACACACUCUGCUCUCUCACCCCCGAAAUCUCUGGGAACAAAGCUGCCAAGCGUCUGGUCACCUGGAGCAGGAAGGAGCUGUCUACACACUGAGCAGCAGAGGAAGGGCCCUGGGGUCAAGCAGACCAAAUUUGGAUCCUGGGCCCACCCAGGAUGACACCUCCACCUGCAUGUCUAGACCCUAGGCCAGGAGGUGACAACAAGGGAAGACAGGAGAUGGAUGGACCCACAUUGUGACACACUAUUUUAUGGAACCUUCCCUGACGCUGCUGCAUUUUAUACGGUUGUUGCUACCUACGGGGGAGAGGUCAGUUCCCAGGACCGCACUGCUCACUCACACAGGGCUGCACUGUUGGGAAGAGGCACUGCCUGGUUAAACGCUCACACAGGCUCUGGCUCUCCUAGGAAUGGCCCAGCAUCCAGGGUGCCACCUAAGGUCUCACUGUCUUAGGCGGCCUCCUUAUUCUGGAGGUGGGCCAAGUAGGAGCUGCCCAUAGAGGACACCAGGCUGGAGCACACAUGACUACCCUCAUCAACCUGACCUUGCCUGUUGGAACCAGGGUGGUGGAUUAGGCUGGGCGGGUAGGAGGCGUGAGGCCUGGAGGUUAAAGACCAGGGCCAAGGAUAGCAGGGACUGAGGCAUGUAGGUCAGUGCCUGAAGCCCAUGUAGAACCCAAUUAACACUGCUGUGAAGGGAGCCAAGCAUCCUCAGGCCCCGGGGAAGGUGGCUGGGUCACAGUGGCCCCAGCCUGGCAGAUUACGUUCAUCCUGGCCACAUCUUGGGGCUCAGUUUUUCAGGCAGCCAGCCACAGCCUCUGGGGAUCCUAGUUCCACAGAGAGGCAGGAAGGGGAAGAGGGUGCAGAGCCUCUGUGAGUCUCAGCGCCGCCUGGGUGGGUAGAGACACUUGUCCGGUUCUGAGGACAUGCUGGGCUCCUCCCCAAGUCCUGCUUCUCCCUGUUCUGCUCCUGGGGAUCACACAGCUCAAGCAAAGCCACAGAUGCCAGGGAAGUCAUCCUCUUGGGCUUGAACAUUAAGCCACAGGCAACUCCGCCCAGAUACCCUUGUCCUGUGGUGGCUUGAGCACCCUCCCUCACUGGCUGGUUCUUCCCCAUUUCCUGCACCAUCUUCUAAUCCAUCUCCGCCUCUGCUUCCUUCCCUCUCUGCAGCCUCCUGCUGAGCUUCCAGCCCUGUUCCCAGGCUCUGCAGCUCCCCAUGGCCUCCAGAAGACACUCAAAAAAUGUCACCCUGCCUUGGGGCCAGAGUCACAAAUGAGGUGCCUCAGUGAACAUCUGUACAGCUUUGAUUGUGUAUCAUGGGCGUGAAUUUUCUGGUUUAAAAAAAAAAAAACUGAGCAGGGCAUGGUGGUGCAUGCCUGUAAUCCCAGCACGUGGGAGGCUGAGGUAGGAGGAUCACCAAGAGUUCAAGUCCAGCCUGGGCUACAUAGUGAGUUCAAAGUUAGCCUGAACUAAAUAGUGAGACCCUGUCUCAUAAAAAUAAUAAAACAAAACAAAAUAAAACUGUUAUUAAGUAUAAAAGUAAUGUGAAAGUAUCUGCGGACA